Molecule: long non-coding RNA, 229 nt
Filed under: Linum usitatissimum (flax)
Lineage: Eukaryota; Viridiplantae; Streptophyta; Magnoliopsida; Malpighiales; Linaceae
Description: long non-coding RNA (LUSI_LNC008200)
Source: RNAcentral
UUGACUGGUUAAAUUAGUAAGUUAGAGUGGUGUGUCAGGCUAUCACGCAUAAUAUGGAGCCAUUUAUUUCUAGAAGCAAGGAUUUUAUUGAUAUAUAGUGUAACCGUGAGAACUAAAAAGUGGAUAAGAAGUUGUUACCAACUUUUUAGGGGGAGCUCUGUCCAUGUUCUGUUUGCAGAUUAGGAAAUCAGCAGAAAUGUCUCCGUUCGUUGAGUUAAGCGGAUUUGGU